Molecule: ribosomal RNA, 497 nt
Filed under: uncultured bacterium
Lineage: Bacteria
Description: partial 16S ribosomal RNA
Rfam family: Bacterial small subunit ribosomal RNA
Source: RNAcentral
GAUGAACGCUGGCGGCGUGCCUAAUACAUGCAAGUCGAGCGAACAGAUGAGGAGCUUGCUCCUCUGACGUUAGCGGCGGACGGGUUAGUAACACGUGGAUAACCUACCUAUAAGACUGGGAUAACUUCGGGAAACCGGAGCUAAUACCGGAUAAUAUAUUGAACCGCAUGGUUCAAUAGUGAAAGACGGUUUUGCUGUCACUUAUAGAUGGAUCCACGCCGCAUUAGCUAGUUGGUAAGGUAACGGCUUACCAAGGCAACGAUGCGUAGCCGACCUGAGAGGGUGAUCGGCCACACUGGAACUGAGACACGGUCCAGACUCCUACGGGAGGCAGCAGUAGGGAAUCUUCCGCAAUGGGCGAAAGCCUGACGGAGCAACGCCGCGUGAGUGAUGAAGGUCUUCGGAUCGUAAAACUCUGUUAUUAGGGAAGAACAAAUGUGUAAGUAACUAUGCACGUCUUGACGGUACCUAAUCAGAAAGCCACGGCUAACUACGUG